Molecule: ribosomal RNA, 299 nt
Filed under: uncultured Poterioochromonas
Lineage: Eukaryota; Synurophyceae; Ochromonadales; Ochromonadaceae
Description: partial large subunit ribosomal RNA
Rfam family: Eukaryotic large subunit ribosomal RNA
Source: RNAcentral
AUAUUAAUAAGGAGAGGAAAAGAAACUAACUAGGAUUCCCUUAGUAACGGCGAGUGAAGCGGGACUAGCUCAGACUGAAAACCUUCGGGGAUGUGGUCUGGAGACUUGAUAUCGAAUGUCAGGAAGCCGAUAAAGUGGUCUGGAAAGACACGCCGAGGAGGGUGACAGCCCCGUUCGUAUCGGUGGAACGACUUAGUAGAUACAGGUUCAUGAGUCGAGUUGUUUGGGAUUGCAGCUCAAAGCGGGUGGUAAAUUCUAUCCAAAGCUAAAUAUCGAUAGGAGACCGAUAGCGCACAAGU